GGGGAUAACAGUUAGAAAUGACUGCUAAUACCGCAUAAGCGCACAGAAUCGCAUGAUUCGGUGUGAAAAACUCCGGUGGUAUGAGAUGGACCCGCGUCUGAUUAGCUAGUUGGUGGGGUAAAGGCCUACCAAGGCGACGAUCAGUAGCCGACCUGAGAGGGUGAUCGGCCACAUUGGGACUGAGACACGGCCCAAACUCCUACGGGAGGCAGCAGUGGGGAAUAUUGCACAAUGGGGGAAACCCUGAUGCAGCAACGCCGCGUGAGUGAAGAAGUAUUUCGGUAUGUAAAGCUCUAUCAGCAGGGAAGAAGAUGACGGUACCUGAUUAAGAAGCCCCGGCUAACUACGUGCCAGCAGCCGCGGUAAUACGUAGGGGGCAAGCGUUAUCCGGAUUUACUGGGUGUAAAGGGAGCGUAGACGGCAUAGCAAGUCUGAAGUGAAAGCCCAAGGCUCAACCAUGGGACUGCUUUGGAAACUGUUAAGCUAGAGUGCUGGAGAGGUAAGCGGAAUUCCUAGUGUAGCGGUGAAAUGCGUAGAUAUUAGGAAGAACACCAGUGGCGAAGGCGGCUUACUGGACAGUAACUGACGUUGAGGCUCGAAAGCGUGGGGAGCAAACAGGAUUAGAUACCCUGGUAGUCCACGCCGUAAACGAUGAA
Molecule: ribosomal RNA, 656 nt
Filed under: uncultured bacterium
Lineage: Bacteria
Description: bacterial SSU rRNA
Rfam family: Bacterial small subunit ribosomal RNA
Source: RNAcentral